RNAcentral lists this ribosomal RNA (1193 nucleotides) under uncultured bacterium. RNAcentral's name for it is "bacterial SSU rRNA". It matches the Rfam family "Bacterial small subunit ribosomal RNA", at positions 135 to 1335 of the family's 1533-position model. The record is from RNAcentral.
ACAGGGGAAUAGCCCAGAGAAAUUUGGAUUAAUGUCCCAUAAUAUAUGUUUUUCGCAUGUUAGACAUAUUAAAGUUCCAACGGUAAAAGAUGAGCAUGCGUCCCAUUAGUUAGUUGGUAAGGUAACGGCUUACCAAGACGAUGAUGGGUAGGGGUCCUGAGAGGGAGAUCCCCCACACUGGUACUGAGACACGGACCAGACUCCUACGGGAGGCAGCGGUGAGGAAUAUUGGACAAUGGGCGCAAGCCUGAUCCAGCCAUGCCGCGUGCAGGAAGACGGUCCUAUGGAUUGUAAACUGCUUUUGUACGGGAAGAAACACUCCUACGUGUAGGAGCUUGACGGUACCGUAAGAAUAAGGAUCGGCUAACUCCGUGCCAGCAGCCGCGGUAAUACGGAGGAUCCAAGCGUUAUCCGGAAUCAUUGGGUUUAAAGGGUCCGUAGGCGGUUUGGUAAGUCAGUGGUGAAAGCCCAUCGCUCAACGGUGGAACGGCCAUUGAUACUGCCGAACUUGAAUUAUUGGGAAGUAACUAGAAUAUGUAGUGUAGCGGUGAAAUGCUUAGAGAUUACAUGGAAUACCAAUUGCGAAGGCAGGUUACUACCAAUGGAUUGACGCUGAUGGACGAAAGCGUGGGUAGCGAACAGGAUUAGAUACCCUGGUAGUCCACGCCGUAAACGAUGGAUACUAGCUGUUGGUGGCAACAUCAGUGGCUAAGCGAAAGUGAUAAGUAUCCCACCUGGGGAGUACGAACGCAAGUUUGAAACUCAAAGGAAUUGACGGGGGCCCGCACAAGCGGUGGAGCAUGUGGUUUAAUUCGAUGAUACGCGAGGAACCUUACCAAGGCUUAAAUGCAGACUGACCGAUUUGGAAACAGAUCUUUCGCAAGACAGUUUACAAGGUGCUGCAUGGUUGUCGUCAGCUCGUGCCGUGAGGUGUCAGGUUAAGUCCUAUAACGAGCGCAACCCCUGUUGUUAGUUGCCAGCGAGUAGUGUCGGGAACUCUAACAAGACUGCCAGUGCAAACUGUGAGGAAGGUGGGGAUGACGUCAAAUCAUCACGGCCCUUACGCCUUGGGCUACACACGUGCUACAAUGGCCGGUACAGAGAGCAGCCACCCCGCGAGGGGGAGCGAAUCUAUAAAGCCAGUCGCAGUUCGGAUCGGAGUCUGCAACUCGACUCCGUGAAGCUGGAAUCGC